GUAGGUGGCAAGCGUUGUCCGGAAUUAUUGGGCGUAAAGCGCGCGCAGGCGGUUCUUUAAGUCUGAUGUGAAAGCCCACGGCUCAACCGUGGAGGAUCAUUGGAAACUGGAGAACUUGAGUACAGAAGAGGAAAGCGGAAUUCCACGUGUAGCGGUGAAAUGCGUAGAGAUGUGGAGGAACACCAGUGGCGAAGGCGGCUUUCUGGUCUGUAACUGACGCUGAGGCGCGAAAGCGUGGGGAGCAAACAGGAUUAGAUACCCUGGUAGUCCACGCCGUAAACGAUGAGUGCUAAGUGUUAGGGGGUUUCCGCCCCCCUUAGUGCUGCAGCUAACGCAUUAAGCACUCCGCCUGGGAGUACGGCCGCAAGGCUG
This 372-nucleotide ribosomal RNA is filed under the name uncultured organism. RNAcentral describes it as "partial 16S ribosomal RNA". It matches the Rfam family "Bacterial small subunit ribosomal RNA", at positions 527 to 896 of the family's 1533-position model. The record is from RNAcentral.